ACACUCCUGCGGGAGGCAGCAGUGGGGAAUUUUGGACAAUGGGGGCAACCCUGAUCCAGCAAUGCCGCGUGAGUGAAGAAGGCCUUCGGGUUGUAAAGCUCUUUUGUCAGGGAAGAAACGGUGGUGGCGAAUAACUACUACUAAUGACGGUACCUGAAGAAUAAGCACCGGCUAACUACGUGCCAGCAGCCGCGGUAAUACGUAGGGUGCAAGCGUUAAUCGGAAUUACUGGGCGUAAAGCGUGCGCAGGCGGUUGUGUAAGUCAGAUGUGAAAUCCCCGGGCUCAACCUGGGAAUUGCAUUUGAGACUGCACGGCUAGAGUGUGUCAGAGGGGGGUAGAAUUCCACGUGUAGCAGUGAAAUGCGUAGAUAUGUGGAGGAAUACCGAUGGCGAAGGCAGCCCCCUGGGAUAACACUGACGCUCAUGCACGAAAGCGUGGGGAGCAAACAGGAUUAGAUACCCGAGUAGUCCCAUGAU
This 477-nucleotide ribosomal RNA is filed under the name uncultured organism. RNAcentral describes it as "partial 16S ribosomal RNA". It matches the Rfam family "Bacterial small subunit ribosomal RNA", at positions 333 to 801 of the family's 1533-position model. The record is from RNAcentral.